GACAGAGGGUGCAAACGUUGUUCGGAAUUACUGGGCGUAAAGCGCGUGUAGGCUGCUUCGCAAGUCGGGUGUGAAAGCCCUGGGCUCAACCUAGGAAGUGCACUCGAAACUGCGAAGCUUGAGUCCUGGAGAGGAAGGCGGAAUUCCUAGUGUAGAGGUGAAAUUCGUAGAUAUUAGGAAGAACACCGGUGGCGAAGGCGGCCAUCUGGCUCGGUACUGACGCUCAGGUUCGAAAGCGUGGGGAGCAAACAGG
RNAcentral lists this ribosomal RNA (253 nucleotides) under uncultured bacterium. RNAcentral describes it as "partial 16S ribosomal RNA". It matches the Rfam family "Bacterial small subunit ribosomal RNA", at positions 524 to 776 of the family's 1533-position model. The record is from RNAcentral.